Molecule: long non-coding RNA, 2621 nt
Organism: Drosophila ananassae
Lineage: Eukaryota; Metazoa; Arthropoda; Insecta; Diptera; Drosophilidae
Exons: 2
Source: RefSeq, a predicted model, not a curated record
GCAACUCCCAGCCCCUGCCUGCUUCUGUUGCUGACUUUGAUUUGUUCAAAUCGCUGCUUAAUGGAUGUUUACACGAUUCCCCGUUGAAGUGGUUACAUUGAGAAUUUACAAGUACAAAGUACAAGUAUUAGCAAAGUCCUGGCCCACUGUGGCACAAAAAAGAAAAUCCUGCGGCCUGCGGCCCAAAACAAGCCAAACAAAGAAAACAGUCGGCCAAAACAAACGAACUGGCCAGAGACACUGACUAGACGCAUAGACGCUGUCAAAAGGACAUUGUCCCAGAUCCUCUUCAGACCAUAGAGUCCUUUUUGUCAACUGCAAUAGUAUAGUUUUCAGUUGCAAUUGCAGUUGCAGAACUAGUAUUAGGUUUAAACAUUUCUCCUAGCUAUCUUUAAUGAACAACUUUUUCGCAUUUCAGCCGCACAAAUGGCCCAUUUAAUUGGAUUAACGCACAUUUCCGCUGCCUCGCUGGCCAAUUUAUCACUGCUUAUGUUUAUUUAUGUUGCAUUUUAAUUAUGCGCCACAGUUGGAAGUGUGCCAUGCGGAGAUGCGGAUGUCUGCCUGGUUGCAACUUGCUUUUUCUUUCCCAACACAGGCUACAGCUACGACUUACCCUUUUCUUCUCCGUUUCUGGCCACUUGCAGUCUCUUUAAUUUUCAUGAUUUACUGCCAAUCCAUUGUGAACGGCUGUCGAUGGCAAUCGAUCCCAUUGCAUACCUCAGAUAUAUAUAUACUCUACCAUAUAAAUAUACAUCUGCAAUAACCCCCUCGUGCUGCAAAAUCUGACAGCCUGGUGCGAAUUUUUUUGCAUCUGAUUCGGGAUGAAUGCCGGUAAUUUGAAGUCUUGUUUGCGGUUCGCUAAUUUCAUUGCUUCAACGUGGAUUGCUGCGAUUGUUCGGUAUUGAUAACCGAGACGAGAUGGGAGAAAGUCUCUGUUCAUAUUUUGGAAAGCAAUGUACUGCUGCACUCUUUGGCUCACUGGAAUUACCCAACGAUCGGUCUAGCCUUAAAUGUAAUUUUGGAAAAGCAAUCACUUGCUUGAAAUCUCUACUCCUUACUCUAAUUUCAUACACCUACUCAUGAAAAUUUCCAAAAAAUACGUUCAUAAACAUAUAAUUAUAAUCAAAACCAUGUUGCCUUCAAAAGUUUCCUUUUUUUUGGGUCACCGAAAGCCGCAGGAACUGGGCGGCUUUUCAAGUGGACAAAAGACCACUCUUUGGCUGUCAAGCUUGAGUUAAAUGAAGAAUAGCCCAGACCCAUGAAUAGGACCGAGCAAUGCCUGGGGAUUCGAAAGGCCUAGAAAGUGGACAGGCCAUUGAAAGACAGUUGCGUCAAAGGACCCACCGACAGUUCGACUUGUCGGACAUGCCUUAAUGUCGUCUGUGUGCUUGCCGCGAAUGUAUGAAUAUUUAUAAUAGAUACUUAUCUUGCACCCUUUCGCAGUCGGACAGGACACCGGACAGGACCUCCAAGCUACGGUCGCAUUUUUCUGGCUUAUUAAUUGCCCGCAUACACGAACCUGACUCCCCGGGUCCUUUGUCGCCAGUCACUCGCGUCCUUGGCGACCUGUCGCCACCAAAUGCAAAACGCAUAAAACAUAAAAAGCAUAAAUAUUAAAAGCCUAAUUAAUUUUGGGUCGCCACGACCGGAAUUAUAUUUUAUUACAAGCUUGAAUGUCAAUAAUUGCACGCAGGUGUGAAUGGCAACAGUUCACCUGCCCUGCAACGUUGCAUGGUCUGGUUUUGUCACUCGAAGAGGCUGGUAGGAAAAAUAUUACAAAAUUAUGAAAGCAAUUAGCAUGGAUUUCGAAGCAGGUUUUCAUAUAAAGGGUUUCAAGUUAGUUCAAACUUGAAAAGGUUGUCUUGCAGCGAUGCAGGUGCUCUGGAGUGGAGUGGAGUGGACGACUCACUUGGCCAUUCACCGUUUGUGGCUAUCAGCGAUAUUGAUGGAUAACGAGUUUGGUGCUGGGAAAGUGGGUGAGCCUGGUAGCCAGUGCAUUGUGAGUCGCUUUUCCACUAAUUGAUAUGCGACCAUCAAGUUGCAUUAUUCAGAGAAAACUCCAAUCCGCCCAGCCUCAUUUCAUUUUGAUUUUUGAUGCCUUUGAUCUCCUAGUUGGGUGAUCCCAACCGUCAGAACUUCGCAGAGCAGAUCCUUUUAAGCAGCAUCUGUCCGAAUGCAUCCGCUUGACAAAAGUGCCUUUGAAGUGCUGAAAACGAAGUUUCUUGGACAUCUAAUUUUAGUUGCGUCAAAUGGUGGUGCAUCGUUAGCGGAAAACAGCAGGAACACAGCAGAAGAACAGGAUGCGCGAAAAGCACUUCCCCAGAAAAGGAAAAACACAUUAACCGUGAUUCUGUCGAGCAAAGUUGUUAAAAUUGAUGAGACAUCGUGGCGCGCUCUGUGACUUUUGACCCACAUCGCUGACUCUCCGCCUUACCUCGCAUUUCCAAAAUCGCAAUCUGACGCAUUAAGUAUGGGACAUGGGUUGCGAGGAUGAGGGCGAGGAUGUGCCACCAAGACGCUGUCUGUGCGGCAAUCUUUUCGGCGGCUUCGACGGCGCCGCCACUUUGUCUGACCCAGAUUUAAUAAAUGGCAGACAAAUUGUCUGCGCAGAUUGUUUAUGA